CUGUUAUACCACUUACACAGUGGUGGCUUCUCCGCAAGAAUCCUGGACCCUGUAGUUGAAGAGUGCUGAGAGUUGUUAGAAGACCCCUGUUUCUGUCACAUACCUACGGUCAAUCCCUCUUCCCAGGGAACCUUGAGAAUUGUUGCUCUGCAAGGGGAAUAGGGGCCUUCUAACAACUCUCUGCAGGGACGCGGGUGGCGCUGUGGGUUAAACCACAGAGCCUAGGACUUGCCGAUCAGAAGAUUGGCGGUUCGAAUCCCCGCGACAGGGUGAGCUCCCGUUGCUCGGUCCCUGCUCCUGCCAACCUAGCAGUUCGAAAGCAUGUCAAAGUGCAAGUAGAUAAAUAGGUACCACUCCGGCGGGAAGGUAAACGGUGUUUCCGUGCGCUGCUCUGGUUCGCCAGAAGCGGCUUAGUCAUGCUGGCCACAUGACCCGGAAGCUGUAUGCUGGCUCCCUCGACCAAUAAAGCAAGAUAAGCGCCGCAACCCCAGAGUCGGCCAUGACUGGACCUAAUGGCCAGGGGUCCCUUUACCUUUUUAACAACUCUCUGCAGUGGCAGAGGAAGAGGGGGUGCGGUAGGGGUGGUCUGACCCAGGUGUCAUCCCUUCUGGGGGGUUGAUGUUCAGCACACCGCAUGUCCGUGACCCCAAGCCAUCAGGGGAAGGGGGGAGUUGUACUGCUUUGCCGGCGCCAUUCCGCCCUUCCCCCUUCAUUUUGACAGCUGGGGGAGGUUUGGUAGUCGCGGGUGGGUGGCACACCAAAUGUCCGCCAUCAGCGGCUUGCUUCACCCACAUGGGUGGCUCGCUCUGCCCCCGACUGCAGCGCACAUGAGCUGCUCCGUGCACUCAAGUGGCUAUCCCACUCCACCCCCUGCUCCCCUUGGGAGUACGCCCCACCCCCUUCAGGAGCACGCCCAACUUGGGCAGCGCAGGCACAUGCUCCGCCGCUGACUAUCUGCACCCUUAAGAAGUUGCACUUCCCAUGAGUCUUUGGGGGAAGCCAUGGGUGUUUAAAGUGACAUGAUAACUCUAAAUGUGUAGUGCAGAUUGGGCCUGAGUGGAGCAGGGGUAAGUGAUCAUUGAAUCAUAGAAGUGUUGGGAGAGACUCAGUGGUUCAUUUUAUCCACACGGAUCCCUACAAUGCAGGAAUAUGCAUCGGGUCAAACCCCUGACUUUGGCAUUUUCAGCACCGCACUCUAACUAACUGAGCCGCCUUCAUGACUUUCAGUGGCAACCUUGUGUUCUUUGUGAAAUGUAGUUGUGCUCUCCUUGCCCAUUCCUGGCAAAGCUGCAAUUGUUUGGAAUGCUCUUUCAAAGUGUCUCCAGCACACAGCCCUCCUUUUAUUUGUGUUUUAUGAGAAGUGUGUUGGUUUCAAAAGAGCACAGUUCUCAGAGACAUCAAAAUUGAAUUUUCGGCAAUUUCUUCAGGCAACCUAGAAUGAUAGGACAUAAGAAGAAGGCCCUAGUGAGAAUACUGCUGAGUGUCAGGAAAGAUCCACAAAGCAUGAACACAAGAUUUAUAUUGUCAAAGCUCUGCAGAAAAGGAAAAAAUCGGCAAAGUAUCAGCAUUAUAUAGUGGCAGGAUAUUUUCUUUUUUGUUGCUGUUAAUUGUCAAUGGUAUGUGUCACUGCAAUGAUGUUAUGAAAUGAAUGUGAAAUUAUUCCUCAGUGUGUUAAACACCGCAGGCUCCUCUUUUAAAACAACAACAAAAAAUGCAUUCCCCCUUUUGUUUUCUCUUUGUAUAAAGGAUGUGAGCUGGCUGAGUGGGAUCAAUGAAGCAAGUUGUAAAUGAGGAAAUGUAUGAAAGGGAAAUUGUAAUUAGUGUACACACACACAAAAGACAAUGCAUCCACUGUAGAGCACAAUUGCUGCUGUGCUAUACUGUUUUCGGGUAGUGAUGUGGAAUCAAGGUUAUGAGUCAAUAUCAUUGCUAAGCCAAACCAGGAGCUCACUGGUGUUCUGUGUUGUCCCGUGGAGUUCUUGCUGUAUUGGUUGUUGUGGGCUGGGUAGGGCGGCCCGGCAAAUAAACACCCUCUAAGCUCCAUAGAGGGACGCGGGUAGCGCUGUGGUCUAAACCACAGAGCCUAAGGCUUGCCGAUCAGAAGGUCGAUGGUUUGAAUCCUCACAACGGGGUGAGCUCCCGUUGCUCGGUCCCAGCUCCUGCCAACCUAGCAGUUCAAAAGCACAUCAAGUGCAAGUAGAUAAAUAGGUACUGCUCUGGCGGGAAGGUAAACGGUGUUUCCAUGCACUGUUCUGGUUCGCCAGAAGUGGCUUUGUCAUGCUGGCCACAUGACCGGGAAGCUGUCUGCGGACAAACGCCGGCUCCCUCAGCCUAUAGAGCGAGAUGAGCCUGCAACCCCAGAGUCGUCUGCGACUGGACCUAACGGUCAGGGGUCCCUUUACCUUUGCCUUAAGCUCCAUAGAGUGUUCAUGCAUACAUGUCUCCUGUGUGAAUAUGCCAUCACAGGUUGAACUUCCGCGUUAUUCAUAGAGGGGCUAGGAGAACAGGUUGGGUACCCAGGAGGAAAUCCCAGACUUGAUUCUCUCUUCUGCCAUUAACUCACUAGGUGACUUUAGGAGAGCUAUAGUUUUCUGUUUCCCUGUCUGUGACAUGGGGAUAACAAUCUUGAUAUGUUUACAAGGAUUAUAGAGAUAAUGUCCACAGUGUAUUCUGAAACACUGCAAAUCACUACUUAUGCACUAAGGGUGGCGGCUGCUGCUGCUAUUAUGAAUAUAUUACCUCAGAUGUGAUGGUUUUAAUUAAAGGGAGUCAGUUCACACAUGCAGGUGUAAGUCAUCCAACAAUGAGACGUUGAUGGAACGAUGCCAACUCAGAUGUGGACCUGCCCUAUAUUGAACAACAGAGCCUUAUAUAUCUUCACAUGUAAGAGAUAAUUAGCACAUAACAAUUUUGUCUUGUUUUGAACAAAGUAAAGCCAAUCUAAUUUGCUAGUCAAAUAGAUUGUGUGAUUAUUACAUUAAACUGGACUUAGUAUUGCUUUUAAUUUGUAGUAUAGGCAUCUAACAGAAAUUGAGUAUUGAGCAUCUAACAGAAAGGUGGCAUAAGGAGUAACAUGACUGCAAAUAGGAGAUCAUCUUUCCCUCAUGCAACACUUUCAAAAGGGAUGCAAGUUCUGAGUGAAACAAUCACAUGACAGAUGAUCUGCAUCUUUGGGGAUAAAUGAACCUAAGUUAGUCAUUGCUAUUAAUUUCAAUUUCUGUUAAUUCUCAUGAGCAGAUCUUGCUCCACAAUAAUCCUCACGUCAUAUCCAGCUAUCUCAAUCCUUCAGAAGAUGUUGCCAAGGCCACCAUCAGACGUUGGCAUUAUUGGGUGACUAUUAGCAGUGUAGGGACAUCAACCUGGGCUAUACCAGGAUAGCAUGGAGAGAGGUUUAGGGAUUUGCUUCUCAGCUAGCCUGAUCUUGCCACCAAGUUCAUCAUUUGAACAUUGGGAUCCUUAAGGCUUUAAUCUGCCUAUCUCCCAGUGAUCCCAGUGCAUAUGUUGGAUGUGUGUCCACAUAUAUGUCUGUGUGUAGGGAUGUGUGAGUAUGUUCAUUGGGUGUGUGUUGUGUCUAUGGCUCCACACACCACCAGAGAAGCAGCCACAUCUGCUGCUAACCAUGCCAAUUAGCACAAGACCUCGAGGCACCCAUCCACCAGUGGUUUUCAGCUUGCUUUAUUUUCCUCUGCUCUCUGGUGUACGGAGGGUUCAAAUGGGCUCUCCUCAGCUGAAGAGUGUGCAUAGGAACAAUUAUGUCAACAGCCCAAUUCACCUCCAUUGUACCAUUCCAUCUGUUUCUGAUAUUCAGAUUCAAGUUAUGGGAUAUUUCAGUCAAACAUAGUUAUGCAUGAGUGCUAGUUAGUGCAUAAAGGAGUUAAACUCAUAGAGCUGUGUUCCUAGACUUAGUUAGGUCAUGCCCCUUCUUCUCCAUUAGAGAGGAAGCAAAGCCUUCUCUUCCUGUCCCCCCACCUCUCUGCGCCAUGUAACUGACCAAGGAAGAUGUGCCUAAGCAAGCUCCAAUCUCAGAGCACGUGUUUGAAGCUAGCUUUCCAUAUUGUCUACCCACCUGUAUUCCGUUCUCCUUGUGUUCUCCUUGGUGCUGUUUGCAUAAAUGCACAAAUCUGACCUUUGGAAUGUUUUGUAAGUAAAGCAUUUUAAACUUACUUUAACAGUUAGCGGUGUGUUCAUUGCAAGAGGGGUAGAAAGAGGGGGCUGCUUUGCAAGCAGAGUAAAUGGGAUAUGGAAAAGGUUUAACAGCCAACUUUCCUAAUGCUUUACUGUGCUGCUUGACUUUGUGAGUUUAAACUGUGCUACUGGGGCCUGUCUUCUGCUGGAGAGUGAGCUUACCCCACAUUUUUAAUCCAUGCACCCAACUGAUUCUUUUGCUAUUUAGCCCACAUACGUAGGUCACAGAGAUUCCUAUUUCCCUCCCACAUUAGUACUGCUACUUAGGUAGCCCAAACAGUACCACCUUGCACACACAGAGAGAAAGCAUCCAUGCUCGGGGGGGGGGGGGCGGUUCCUGAGAUUUCUAGAAGUAAAAUAAACAAAAACAGAAUGGUUUUUUUAAAAAGGAAAAAACGUGUGUGCUCAGGUAGAGUGGGAAAGAGCUAGGAGAGAACACAGGUACCACCAUCUGUGGUGAGGAGAUUUUCCCACCGUGGGCCCUCUCCAAGCUGAGAAGGGAAAGUUCUGAAGAUGAUGACUGGACCAGCUGACAGACAACCCUCGUUCUUUGUCUUUAAUGGUUUUCAGUCAUCUCUCCUCGGCCAAUGAGACUUUCUCCCCUCACAGCAGCAAGAAAGGAGGGGGCUGGAGGUGCGGAAUGGGCUGGCUGAAACCAUCCAUCCAUUCUCUCCCAUCCCUUCCUCAGGCAAGGAGUCCAGAUAUCUCAAGAAGGAUUGCACAUGCUCAGAAGUCAUGGGUUGCUAACUUGCUUCUGGAAAACGGAGGAAAUGAAAUGGAACAUUUUGGAAGAAGGCUGGCAACAUUUUGUUGCUGGUACACUAGGUAAAGGUAAAGGGACCCCUAACCAUUAGGUCCAGUUGUGACCGACUCUGGGGUUGCAGCGCUCAUCUCGCUUUAUUGGCCGAG
RNAcentral lists this long non-coding RNA (5094 nucleotides) under Podarcis lilfordi (Lilford's wall lizard). The record is from RNAcentral. Lineage: Eukaryota; Metazoa; Chordata; Lepidosauria; Squamata; Lacertidae.